This 253-nucleotide ribosomal RNA is filed under the name uncultured bacterium. RNAcentral's name for it is "partial 16S ribosomal RNA". It matches the Rfam family "Bacterial small subunit ribosomal RNA", at positions 524 to 776 of the family's 1533-position model. The record is from RNAcentral.
UACGGAGGAUCCAAGCGUUAUCCGGAAUCAUUGGGUUUAAAGGGUCCGUAGGCGGUUUUGUAAGUCAGUGGUGAAAGCCCAUCGCUCAACGGUGGAACGGCCAUUGAUACUGCAAGACUUGAAUUAUUAGGAAGUAACUAGAAUAUGUAGUGCAGCGGUGAAAUGCUUAGAUAUUACAUGGAAUACCAAUUGCGAAGGCAGGUUACUACUAAUUGAUUGACGCUGAUGGACGAAAGCGUGGGGAGCGAACAGG